RNAcentral lists this ribosomal RNA (389 nucleotides) under Podarcis tiliguerta. Its description in RNAcentral is "partial 12S ribosomal RNA". It matches the Rfam family "Bacterial small subunit ribosomal RNA", at positions 794 to 1384 of the family's 1533-position model. Lineage: Eukaryota; Metazoa; Chordata; Lepidosauria; Squamata; Lacertidae. The record is from RNAcentral.
GCUAAGCCCUAAACAUUGAUAGUAAUUAUUACAAUACUUUCCGCCAGAGAACUACAAGUGAAAAACUUGAAACUCAAAGGACUUGACGGUGUCCCAUAUCGACCUAGAGGAGCCUGUCCUAUAAUCGAUACCCCCCGUUCCACCCAACCCCAACUAGCAAAAUAUCAGCCUAUAUACCGCCGUCGACAGUCUACCCCAUGAGGGUUCAACAGUAGACACAAUAGCCUUAACGCUAAUACGUCAGGUCAAGGUGUAGCAAAUGUUGAGGAAAAGAUUGGCUACAUUUUUUAUGAUAAAAAACACGAAUUGCACUAUGAAACACUGCAUGAAGGUGAAUUUAGUAGUAAAACAGACAAGAGUGUCUGUUUUAACAACGCUCUGGGACGCGU